Molecule: ribosomal RNA, 253 nt
Filed under: uncultured bacterium
Lineage: Bacteria
Description: partial 16S ribosomal RNA
Rfam family: Bacterial small subunit ribosomal RNA
Source: RNAcentral
GACAGAGGAGGCGAGCGUUAUCCGGAGUCAUUGGGCGUAAAGGGGACGUAGGCGGCUAGUCAAGUCUGAGGUUAAAGACCACAGCUUAACUGCGGGAAGGCCUUGGAAACUGACUGGCUAGACUAGGGCAGGGGUUGCGGGAAUUCCCGGUGUAGCGGUGAAAUGCGUAGAUAUCGGGAAGAACACCUGAGGCGAAAGCGCGCAACUGGGCCCUGACUAACGCUGAGGAACGAAAGCUAGGGGAGCGAAAGGG